GGUUUCAUAGUGUAACAAGCACACUAGAUUGCAAAUCUUGAAGUGACAAAUUAAAGUCUGUAACCU
RNAcentral lists this transfer RNA (66 nucleotides) under Amphioplus laevis. RNAcentral describes it as "tRNA-Cys". It matches the Rfam family "tRNA". Rfam says of the family: Transfer RNA (tRNA) molecules are approximately 80 nucleotides in length. Their secondary structure includes four short double-helical elements and three loops (D, anti-codon, and T loops). Further hydrogen bonds mediate the characteristic L-shaped molecular structure. tRNAs have two regions of fundamental functional importance: the anti-codon, which is responsible for specific mRNA codon recognition, and the 3' end, to which the tRNAs corresponding amino acid is attached (by aminoacyl-tRNA synthetases). tRNAs cope with the degeneracy of the genetic code in two manners: having more than one tRNA (with a specific anti-codon) for a particular amino acid; and 'wobble' base-pairing, i.e. permitting non-standard base-pairing at the 3rd anti-codon position. Lineage: Eukaryota; Metazoa; Echinodermata; Ophiuroidea; Amphilepidida; Amphiuridae. The record is from RNAcentral.